UUACAAUAAAACUCUCCUCUUCCCUUUCAUUUUCCUUUGAACUAACUUCAUUCCGGCUCUCUGUUGUCUUCAGCCUCCACCACAGUUGCUUUAGACACGGUGACUGAUGAUAUCAGGACUGCUUAUCCAACCGCCAGUGCCAGGCCUUGCUCUGUUUAACCUUGGCCUUUGAGGUACCUGAUCAUCUCUGCUAUCCUCAGGCCGUUCUCCUCAUUUUCCUACUAUCUUAUCAGCCGCUUACUCUUACUCUGUUCCAGUUGCUGGUUUCUUCUUUUCUUUCUGACCUCUGGAUGUUUCUCCCUACCUGUAAGCCUGCUGGCUUAGUCCUUGAACCUCUUUUCUCAUCCCUGUAAGCUCACUGGUGGUGAUGCCCAGCUUAAUGGUGUAAACACCGUCUCUACGGUUUCAGAAUGUUAACAUAGUGUACGUCACCAACACAUGUCUGAGCAAAGUCCAGCAGUGUUCUCAAUACUGCACACAGAUGUCUGAUGGGUGCCUCAAUCUUCCUGAGCUCAAAAGGCAACUCCUGAUCCUUCCUCUAAAGCUGGUCCCUCCCAUGUGCCUUCUUCCAUCUAGAUAAAUGGCGACUGCGUUUUCCACUUCCUCAGGCCAAAAAACAUGAGGCAUUGCAUUAGAAGAAUCUUGUGAAAUAUGAGAAAAAGUGCAUCAGUCCCUUGCUGCUGCAGGGACGCCAUGAGAGCCAACGCCGGAAGAGCACACUCCUGGAUGGCUCCCUGCCCUGUGCAUGGCUUGCUCCCUACCCCAUUCUCACUUGUGGAGGUUCAAACGCCCCCUUGAGGACUAUUCAUGGGAUGCUUCUUUACCGUUAAACGUAUCUUCCUUCCACCAGCAGCACUUUCUGUCUGCCCUUCCUGAAUUAUUUCCAUAGCAUGCGUCAUCAUUUAGGAUACUGUGUAAUUUACUUCUGUUUUCUAUGAGUACCUGUUUCCACUAUUAUUAUAGAACGUAACUCAGAAGA
RNAcentral lists this long non-coding RNA (979 nucleotides) under Homo sapiens (human). RNAcentral describes it as "HSALNT0344710". The record is from RNAcentral. Lineage: Eukaryota; Metazoa; Chordata; Mammalia; Primates; Hominidae.